This 215-nucleotide long non-coding RNA is filed under the name Pseudonaja textilis. RNAcentral's name for it is "lncRNA (ENSPTXG00000013258.1)". Lineage: Eukaryota; Metazoa; Chordata; Lepidosauria; Squamata; Elapidae. The record is from RNAcentral.
GCAGGCUAGCCCUGGAGCUCAGAGCUGGCCCUGGGACCUCAGUAGUCCUGACUAACCCUUGCUAGAGUGGACUAGUUCAUUCCCAGAGGCCUUUCCAGAUGGGCCCGUCAGGAACAGGCUGAUGCGCUGGUACCCUCCUUCUGACGCUACCCAACAAGGAUGGAAGUCCCGGCAAUUCUGUUAGUUUUAAGCUGCUUUUGGUCCACAUUUUCCCC